This 468-nucleotide ribosomal RNA is filed under the name uncultured bacterium. RNAcentral's name for it is "partial 16S ribosomal RNA". It matches the Rfam family "Bacterial small subunit ribosomal RNA", at positions 28 to 507 of the family's 1533-position model. The record is from RNAcentral.
GACGAACGCUGGCGGCGUGCUUAACACAUGCAAGUCGAACGGAAAGGCCCUGCUUUUGUGGGGUGCUCGAGUGGCGAACGGGUGAGUAACACGUGAGUAACCUGCCCUUGACUUUGGGAUAACUUCAGGAAACUGGGGCUAAUACCGGAUAGGAGCUCCUGCUGCAUGGUGGGGGUUGGAAAGUUUCGGCGGUUGGGGAUGGACUCGCGGCUUAUCAGCUUGUUGGUGGGGUAGUGGCUUACCAAGGCUUUGACGGGUAUCCGGCCUGAGAGGGUGACCGGCCACAUUGGGACUGAGAUACGGCCCAGACUCCUACGGGAGGCAGCAGUGGGGACUAUUGCACAAUGGGCGGAAGCCUGAUGCAGCAACGCCGCGUGCGGGAUGACGGCCUUCGGGUUGUAAACCGCUUUCGCCUGUGACGAAGCGUGAGUGACGGUAAUGGGUAAAGAAGCACCGGCUAACUACGUG